RNAcentral lists this long non-coding RNA (295 nucleotides) under Elaeis guineensis (African oil palm). RNAcentral's name for it is "long non-coding RNA (EGUI_LNC066889)". Lineage: Eukaryota; Viridiplantae; Streptophyta; Magnoliopsida; Arecales; Arecaceae. The record is from RNAcentral.
UGGCCGGUGUCUCUCUUUCUUCCGCUUCUUUCCUUCUUCCUUUCUCUUCCUCUCUUUCUUUUUAUCCAUUUCUCCUCCUUCCUUUCCUCUUCUUUCUCCUUUCUCUACCUAAUCUCCUCCUCUCCUUUCUCCAUCCAUUCUCCUUCUCUCUUUUCUCCUCCCCUUCCUUCCUAUCCACUACUCCUUAUCUUUUUCCUUCAUACCGUCUAUAAACUAUUUCCUUACAUGGCAACCUCUUUUCCUAGCACAUGAGAGAGAGAGAGACUUAAGUUGGGGUUCAAUUUUUCCAUCACUU